UAGGGAAUCUUCCGCAAUGGGCGAAAGCCUGACGGAGCAACGCCGCGUGAGUGAUGAAGGGUUUCGGCUCGUAAAACUCUGUUAUUAGGGAAGAACAAAUGUGUAAGUAACUGUGCACAUCUUGACGGUACCUAAUCAGAAAGCCACGGCUAACUACGUGCCAGCAGCCGCGGUAAUACGUAGGUGGCAAGCGUUAUCCGGAAUUAUUGGGCGUAAAGCGCGCGUAGGCGGUUUCUUAAGUCUGAUGUGAAAGCCCACGGCUCAACCGUGGAGGGUCAUUGGAAACUGGGAAACUUGAGUGCAGAAGAGGAAAGGGGAAUUCAAGGUGUAGCGGUGAAAUGCGCAGAGAUAUGGAGGAACGCCAGUGGCGAAGGCGACUUUCUGGUCUGUAACUGACGCUGAUGUGCGAAAGCGUGGGGAUCAAACAAG
RNAcentral lists this ribosomal RNA (429 nucleotides) under Acidobacteriota bacterium. Its description in RNAcentral is "Acidobacteria bacterium partial 16S ribosomal RNA". It matches the Rfam family "Bacterial small subunit ribosomal RNA", at positions 355 to 776 of the family's 1533-position model. The record is from RNAcentral. Lineage: Bacteria; Pseudomonadati; Acidobacteriota.